CCUACGGGAGGCAGCAGUCGAGAAUCAUUCACAAUGGGGGAAACCCUGAUGGUGCGACGCCGCGUGGGGGAAUGAAGGUCUUCGGAUUGUAAACCCCUGUCAUGUGGGAGCAAAUUAAAAAGAUAGUACCACAAGAGGAAGAGACGGCUAACUCUGUGCCAGCAGCCGCGGUAAUACAGAGGUCUCAAGCGUUGUUCGGAAUCACUGGGCGUAAAGGGUGCGUAGGCUGUUUCGUAAGUCGUGUGUGAAAGGCGCGGGCUCAACCCGCGGACGGCACAUGAUACUGCGAGACUAGAGUAAUGGAGGGGGAACCGGAAUUCGCGGUGUAGCAGUGAAAUGCGUAGAUAUCGAGAGGAACACUCGUGGCGAAGGCGGGUUCCUGGACAUUAACUGACGCUGAGGCACGAAGGCCAGGGGAGCGAAAGGGAUUAGAUACCCUUGUAGUC
RNAcentral lists this ribosomal RNA (446 nucleotides) under uncultured bacterium. Its description in RNAcentral is "partial 16S ribosomal RNA". It matches the Rfam family "Bacterial small subunit ribosomal RNA", at positions 338 to 795 of the family's 1533-position model. The record is from RNAcentral.